RNAcentral lists this transfer RNA (68 nucleotides) under Ictidomys tridecemlineatus (thirteen-lined ground squirrel). RNAcentral describes it as "Spermophilus tridecemlineatus (thirteen-lined ground squirrel) tRNA". It matches the Rfam family "tRNA". From Rfam's summary of the family: Transfer RNA (tRNA) molecules are approximately 80 nucleotides in length. Their secondary structure includes four short double-helical elements and three loops (D, anti-codon, and T loops). Lineage: Eukaryota; Metazoa; Chordata; Mammalia; Rodentia; Sciuridae. The record is from Rfam by way of RNAcentral. RNAcentral also lists the same sequence under 1 other name.
GUGGUGGCUCAGUGGUAGAGCACUUGCUUAGCAUGUGUGAGGCACUGGGUUCAAUCCUCAGCACCACA